RNAcentral lists this ribosomal RNA (484 nucleotides) under uncultured bacterium. Its description in RNAcentral is "partial 16S ribosomal RNA". It matches the Rfam family "Bacterial small subunit ribosomal RNA", at positions 29 to 507 of the family's 1533-position model. The record is from RNAcentral.
AUUGAACGCUGGCGGCAUGCUUUACACAUGCAAGUCGAACGGCAGCGCGGGCUUCGGCCUGGCGGCGAGUGGCGAACGGGUGAGUAAUACAUCGGAACGUGCCCAGUAGUGGGGGAUAGCUCGGCGAAAGCCGGAUUAAUACCGCAUACGACCUGAGGGUGAAAGCGGGGGAUCUUCGGACCUCGCGCUCUUGGAGCGGCCGAUGGCAGAUUAGCUAGUUGGUGGGGUAAAGGCCUACCAAGGCGACGAUCUGUAGCUGGUCUGAGAGGACGACCAGCCACACUGGGACUGAGACACGGCCCAGACUCCUACGGGAGGCAGCAGUGGGGAAUUUUGGACAAUGGGCGAAAGCCUGAUCCAGCAAUGCCGCGUGUGUGAUGAAGGCCUUCGGGUUGUAAAGCACUUUUGGCGGGAACGAAAAGGACUGUGCCAAUACCACGGUUCGAUGACGGUACCCGAAGAAUAAGCACCGGCUAACUACGUG